GGUUGCGAUCAUACCAACUCUAAUGCAUCGGAUCCCAUUAGAACUCUGCAGUUAAGCAUGCUUGGGCCAAAGUAGUACUAAGUUGGAUGACCACUUGGGAAGUCCUCGUGUUGAGGACC
RNAcentral lists this ribosomal RNA (119 nucleotides) under Cucumis melo (muskmelon). Lineage: Eukaryota; Viridiplantae; Streptophyta; Magnoliopsida; Cucurbitales; Cucurbitaceae. The record is from RNAcentral.